CCCGGUUCGUUGUUACACCUAAUACAUGCAGUCGAGCGAACAGAACAAGGAGCUUGCUCCUUUGACGUUAGCGGCGGACGUGGUAAGUAACACGUGGGCAACCUACCUUAUAGUUUNGGGAUAACUCCGGGAAACCGGGGCUAAUACCGAAUAAUCUAUUUUACUUCAUGGUGAAAUACUAGAAAGACGGUAUAUCGGCUGUCGCUAUAAGAUGGGCCCGCGUGCGCAUUAGCUAGUUGGUGAGGUAACGGCUCACCAAGGCGACGAUGCGUAACCGACCUGAGAGGGUGAUCGGCCACACUGGGACUGAGACACGGCCCAGACUCCUACGGGAGGCAGCAGUAGGGAAUCUUCCACAAUUGGGCGAAAGCCUGAUGGANGCAACGCCGCGUGAGUGAAGAAGGUUUUCGGAUCGUAAAACUCUAGUAUGUAACUGGAAGAACAAGUACNGUAAUAACUGGCUGUACCUUGACGGUACCUUAUUAGAAAGCCACNGCUAACUACGUGCCAGCAGCCGCGGGUAAUACGUAUUGUGGCGACAGCGUUUGUUC
Molecule: ribosomal RNA, 551 nt
Filed under: uncultured bacterium
Lineage: Bacteria
Description: bacterial SSU rRNA
Rfam family: Bacterial small subunit ribosomal RNA
Source: RNAcentral